Molecule: ribosomal RNA, 305 nt
Filed under: uncultured bacterium
Lineage: Bacteria
Description: bacterial SSU rRNA
Rfam family: Bacterial small subunit ribosomal RNA
Source: RNAcentral
GGGGACCUACGGGACGCAGCAGUAGGGAAUAUUGCUCAAUGGGGGAAACCCUGAAGCAGCAACGCCGCGUGGAGGAUGAAGGUUUUCGGAUUGUAAACUCCUUUUGUUAGAGAAGAUAAUGACGGUAUCUAACGAAUAAGCACCGGCUAACUCCGUGCUAGCAGCCGCGGUAAUACGGAGGGUGCAAGCGUUACUCGGAAUCACUGGGCGUAAAGAGCGCGUAGGCGGGAUAGCAAGUCAGAUGUGAAAUCCUAUGGCUUAACCAUAAAACUGCAUUUGAAACUGUUAUUCUAGAGUAUGGGAGC